AUGAAGAUAUUACCGGGGGAAGUUGGUCCUCUGAUACUGGUUCCCAUGUUGCAACCUCUGGUACCUAUCAGAAGAGAAACCCAGAAGGAGAAAUGUUCGAUGCAGCUGACGGGAAAAUGUUUGAGGGACACAGACAUUUAACUGUGGGGUCCCUGUGUCAUCUGCAGUGACACCACAACCAGGACUCUUAUCAGCAUCCUCUCCACAUCACCCGCAGCAACACCUGGCCAGCCUGCUCCCUGUCAUGUUCCAGGCGCCGCCUGAGCCAGUCGCUCUCCCUACUCACAGGUGGAUGUGGGCUGUUUGUAGCCGUGACAUUCUGAGCGGGCUGGGCCGCAUCAAAGCCAGCAUAAUAAUGCCCACCUUUGGCAGUUUCCUAAAAAUGGACUCCACAAAAAAGGAACGACCCACUGCUGCACCCCCCACAGCCCGGCCCCCAACAUCAGUACUCAAAGUACAGCGGGGCAGGCAGCGGUCAAGAGGAAGUGUGCAGCUCUGCUGUCUGUUCCCUAAGCAGGCUCCUCCACCUACCUCUGCCCCUUUGCCUGUUGUACUCAACAGACAGUAUUAUGGCUACUUAUACUGUCCCCGGAAAGGUGGUAUGCCAUUUGACCAGUGGAUGGAGGAUAUGUGGAGGAAGAGGGCAGAUAAGAUAGAUUCGUGUCUCUGCCAUCGUUUGUCUCUUAGUGUGUAGAUAGUGUAAAUAAUUUUAAAAGACCAAAAACUGCUUGUUAUAUCUCAGUCUGGUUCUAUUGGUUCAUUGUUGUGAUUAUUAUUAAUUUGCAUGCCAUAUAACGGGUGUAGUAUAUUGACACAUGUGUGAGCCUGGCAAAAUGUGUUGAUUUUUGUUGUUGUGUUUUUUUACAACCCCCCUUAUGACUUGUUUUACUAGUAGAGCUGUGUUUCCUAGCUUUAUUUAUUUUAACAUUUUAACAUUUUUAUUUUAUAUCAUUCCUUUAUUAAUUUCCUUGUGUGUGUGUUCUGGUUACGAGUGUAUGUGAGAAAAUUAAGGUACGGUGGAGUUGGUGAAGUGAGGGAGUCUUAUACUAUAUUUCUACAGCAGUAAUUUUGAAUGAUUUCUACCAUAAAUAUCCGUAAAAACAGGAGUCAAGCCAAGCUGAACUUUUUGUAAACCUAUGCAGAUAACAAUAAAAUGAUCAGAUUUUAUUUAUUUUAAAUCAACAGAACAAUAUUGCAAACUGCAUUCAGAGAACACAGUUACAUUGUUGCUUUCAAUACUUAGGCUAUUCCAUUCAGUGUGAAUUAUAUUUUAUUCAGGGAUUUGGUCUGUUUCUAAAGGAAAAAAAAAAUCAAAAUGUACAAUAAUAAUCAGAAAUAAUUUAUUUCUUUGAUACAUUCUAGUUGAAAAUACACGUUAGAAUUACAAGCCACUCUCAUAUUUCUAUCACUUAUUAAGUAACAUUUGACAUAUUCUCAACACUUGAUGAGAGCUUGGGUAAAGAGAGACCUUUGGAUCUAGUAAAGUGUCCUUUACCCUCCCUUCACCCCCUCCUUCCUCGAGGUUAAAAGUCGGAACUAGCUUCACAUGGAUGUAGCUAACGACAUGCCGUAGCUAGCCCAAAGGAGGCAGGACGAGGGGAAGCGAGAGGUUUAACUUCCACUUCCUUCCUUCUUCGCUUAUGUCCCAGGCAGACACCUGACUGAAACGUUUUAUUUCAAAUGCGUCGAGGGCGUCUUGAAUGUGGAGGAAUAUUAUUCUAUUAAAUAGUCAACCUUUCCUUAGUAAAAUUUUUUGAAAGACACUGAUAGUAUUGUGAGACUGGCGUUUUCUGUGUUGAAUGCUGCCGUUGGCGCAGGCGUACUUUUGUAAUACGUGAUAGUGGUUAUUGUACAAAUUAGUAGGGGGCGAAGUGUAGCGUUACAUUCACCGUCCCAAACAUAUGCUUCAUAUAGCAUAUAUCUAAUUUAUAAUUGAUAAUGGUGUUCCAGGACCUCAGAGCGCCCGGAUAGCUCAGUCGGUAGAGCAUCAGACUUUUAAUCUGAGGGUCCAGGGUUCAAGUCCCUGUUCGGGCGAUAGAUGUUUUGCGUUUAAUAGAGGUCCCUCCAUACUGUGUUCAAGACGGUGGUGAGACCAUUGGUUCUUGCAACCAAUCACCGUUGAGCUUUUCCAUUUUUACUGAGCUGGCAAAGACAUGUUGACCUGGCUGAUAGGUUGUUUAUACAGCCUAUGGUUGAUCCCUAGCUCCCCCACCCCUAGCUAGCUAGCUAGCUAGUUAAAACUUAUUUAUUGUAGAGAAGAAAUGACUAUAACUCAGGGGUUACAUUUAGGUUUUUUUUUAAUAGUUUGUAGUACUCUGUAUUAGCUAGCUCACUGUUUCUUAACAGGCCAUCUCUUCACUGACUUGUAGAGUUUUGCAUUGUUUUUACCUGUUUAUAUUAAUAUUAGUUAUCUAUCAAUGUAUAACAAUGUACAUGUCACAAUGUAUGUUGAUAACCUUACACAUACAGUCAAUAUUUAUUACAGCGUUAUGGGUGCCAAUAGCUAGAUAUUUGGCUGUCCUCAUAGAAAAAUGCAUAACCAUAAUAUUACUGUAACACCCUCAUGUUGCCAUCCCAUACAUUUAUGUGUUUCUUAAUGAGAUAAAGCUACUUUGCACUAUUCUAAACUAGUUUUCAGUGAGCAGCCUUUGUCAAACUAAUGUAUCUACUGAUCUCUUGAUGAUUAUCAACCUUCUGCCUUUAUGAUAUAUUUCUGACUCUCACCUCAGUUUGAUUAAAUUGAGUAAAAUGCACAUUACAACAUGUUUUGGAAAAAUAA
This is a long non-coding RNA of Siniperca chuatsi (mandarin fish), 2779 nucleotides long. RefSeq lists it as uncharacterized. The record is from RefSeq and is a predicted model, not a curated record. NCBI's taxonomy places the organism in Eukaryota, Metazoa, Chordata, Actinopteri, Centrarchiformes, Sinipercidae. The transcript has 4 exons.